RNAcentral lists this ribosomal RNA (635 nucleotides) under uncultured Acidobacteriota bacterium. Its description in RNAcentral is "bacterial SSU rRNA". It matches the Rfam family "Bacterial small subunit ribosomal RNA", at positions 89 to 703 of the family's 1533-position model. Lineage: Bacteria; Pseudomonadati; Acidobacteriota. The record is from RNAcentral.
AGUAGAGUGGCGUCCGGGUGAGUAACACGUAGGUAAUCUACCUCUGGGUGGGGAAUAACAGCCGGAAACGGCUGCUAAUACCGCAUAACGCAGCGGCACCACAUGGUGACAGUUGUUAAAGCGGGGGAUCUUCGGACCUCGCGCCUAGAGAGGAGCCUGCGGCGGAUUAGCUAGUUGGUGGGGUAAUGGCUCACCAAGGCAACGAUCCGUAGCCGGCCUGAGAGGGCGGACGGCCACACUGGGACUGAGACACGGCCCAGACUCCUACGGGAGGCAGCAGUGGGGAAUUGUUCGCAAUGGGCGCAAGCCUGACGACGCAACGCCGCGUGGAGGAUGAAGGUCUUCGGAUUGUAAACUCCUGUUGCCCGGGACGAAUGCUCUCGACCUAACACGUCGAGGGGUGACGGUACCGGGUGAGGAAGCCCCGGCUAACUCUGUGCCAGCAGCCGCGGUAAUACAGAGGGGGCAAGCGUUGUUCGGAAUUACUGGGCGUAAAGGGCGCGUAGGCGGCCUGCUAAGUCGAACGUGAAAUCCCCGGGCUCAACCCGGGAACUGCGUUCGAGACUGGCGGGCUCGAAUCCGGGAGAGGGAUGCGGAAUUCCAGGUGUAGCGGUGAAAUGCGUAGAUAUCUGGAG